RNAcentral lists this ribosomal RNA (1338 nucleotides) under uncultured bacterium. RNAcentral describes it as "16S ribosomal RNA". It matches the Rfam family "Bacterial small subunit ribosomal RNA". The record is from RNAcentral.
GUUUAGCGGCGAACGGGUGAGUAAUAAGUACAAACAUGCCCCUUUGUAGGACAUAGUCCGCCGAAAGGCGGGGUAAUUCCUAUAGUAUCUUCGGAUUAAAGACGCAAGUCGCGAAGGGAUUGGUGUACUCGCUACCAGCUUGUUGGUGAGGUAAUGGCUCACCAAGGCUAUGACGGCUACCGGCUCUUAGCGGAGAGUCCGGCACAAUGGGACUGAGACACGGCCCAUACUUCUACGGAAGGCAGCAGUUAGGAAUUUUGCGCAAUGGACGAAAGUCUGACGCAGCGACAUCGCGUGUGGGAUGACAGCCUUAGGGUUGUAAACCACUUUUUGGGGCCAUGAAGGCGCCCAGAAUAAGGAACUACUAACUACGUGCCAGCAGUCGCGGUAAUACGUAGGUUCCGAGCGUUACCCGGAUUUAUUGGGCGUAAAGGGUCUGCAGGUGGUUUUCUAAGUCUUGUUUCAAAGUCCCCGACUUAAUCGGGGGAAGGGGCAGGAUACUGGAAGACUAGAGUUAUAUCGGGGUUACUGGAAUUUGUGGUGUAGGGGUAAAAUCCGUGGAUACCACAAAGAACACCAAGCGCGAAGGCGGGAACUAGGUAUAUACUGACACUCAUAGACGAAAGCUAGGGUAGCCAAUCAGAUUAGAGACCUGAGUAGUCCUAGCCGUAAACAUUGUCUGUUAAUUUUCCCCCUUUUUGGGAGGAGAUGCUAGCUAACGCGUUAAACAGACCGCCUGGGGAGUAUAGCCGCAAGGCCGAAACUCAAACGAAUUGGCGGGGAGGCGCACAACCAGUGGAGCAUGUGGUUUAAUUCGAUACGAAGCGAUAAACCUUACCCGGGUUUGAAAUUACCUGCAAGCCCCCAGAAACGGGGGAAUCUUUCGAAGGUGGUACACAGCUGUUGCAUGGCUGUCGUCAGCUCGUGACGUGAGUUGUUCUCUUAAGUGAGGUAACGAGCGCAACCCCUAUCGUAUGUUACUGUAUCAUACGAGACUGCCUAGCAUUAUUUUGUUAGGAGGAAGGAGGGGACGACGUCAAGUCAUCAUGAUGCUUAUAUCCGGGGCUACACACAUCCUACAAUGGGUUGUACAGAGGGUUGCAAUACCGGAGGUGGAGCUAAUCCCUAAAACAAUCCUCAGUUGGGAUCGCAGGCUGAAAUUCGCCUGCGUGAACUUGGAAUUGGUAGUAAUCGCAAAUCAGCAGAUUGCGGUGAAUACGUUCUCGCCUCUUGCACACACUGCCCGUCAAAUCAACAAAGUUGGGGGUACCCAAAGUCUUGCCUCGUGCAGGACCAAGGUAAAUCCAGCGAUGAGGGUUAAGUCGUAACAAGGUAACC